GAUGAACGCUAGCUACAGGCUUAACACAUGCAAGUCGAGGGGCAGCAUGGUCUUAGCUUGCUAAGGCCGAUGGCGACCGGCGCACGGGUGAGUAACGCGUAUCCAACCUGCCUUACACUCUUGGACAGCCUUCUGAAAGGGAGAUUAAUACAAGAUGUUAUCAUGAGUAAGCAUUUUCGCAUGAUUAAAGGUUUACCGGUGUAAGAUGGGGAUGCGUUCCAUUAGAUAGUAGGCGGGGUAACGGCCCACCUAGUCUUCGAUGGAUAGGGGUUCUGAGAGGAAGGUCCCCCACAUUGGAACUGAGACACGGUCCAAACUCCUACGGGAGGCAGCAGUGAGGAAUAUUGGUCAAUGGACGAGAGUCUGAACCAGCCAAGUAGCGUGAAGGAUGAAGGUUCUAUGGAUUGUAAACUUCUUUUAUACGGGAAUAAACGAAUCCACGUGUGGAUUUUUGCAUGUACCGUAUGAAUAAGGAUCGGCUAACUCCGUGCCAGCAGCCGCGGUAAUACGGAGGAUCCGAGCGUUAUCCGGAUUUAUUGGGUUUAAAGGGAGCGUAGAUGGGUUGUUAAGUCAGUUGUGAAAGUUUGCGGCUCAACCGUAAAAUUGCAAUUGAUACUGGCAGUCUUGAGUACAGUUGAGGUAGGCGGAAUUCGUGGUGUAGCGGUGAAAUGCUUAGAUAUCACGAAGAACUCCGAUUGCGAAGGCAGCUUACUAACCUGUAACUGACAUUGAUGCUCGAAAGUGUGGGUAUCAAACAGGAUUAGAUACCCUGGUAGUCCACACGGUAAACGAUGAAUACUCGCUGUAGGCGAUAUACAGUCUGCGGCCAAGCGAAAGCAUUAAGUAUUCCACCUGGGGAGUACGCCGGCAACGGUGAAACUCAAAGGAAUUGACGGGGGCCCGCACAAGCGGAGGAACAUGUGGUUUAAUUCGAUGAUACGCGAGGAACCUUACCCGGGCUUAAAUUGCAACCGAAUAUGGCGGAAACGCUAUAGCUAGCAAUAGCGGUUGUGAAGGUGCUGCAUGGUUGUCGUCAGCUCGUGCCGUGAGGUGUCGGCUUAAGUGCCAUAACGAGCGCAACCCUUGCCGAUAGUUACCAACAGGUCAUGCUGAGGACUCUGUCGGGACUGCCAUCGUAAGAUGUGAGGAAGGUGGGGAUGACGUCAAAUCAGCACGGCCCUUACGUCCGGGGCUACACACGUGUUACAAUGGGGGGUACAGAGGGCUGCUACCACGCAAGUGGAUGCCAAUCCCAAAAACCUCUCUCAGUUCGGAUUGAAGUCUGCAACCCGACUUCAUGAAGCUGGAUUCGCUAGUAAUCGCGCAUCAGCCACGGCGCGGUGAAUACGUUCCCGGGCCUUGUACACACCGCCCGUCAAGCCAUGGGAGCCGGGGGUACCUGAAGUGCGUAACCGCAAGGAGCGCCCUAGGGUAAAACUGGUGACUGGGGCUAAG
Molecule: ribosomal RNA, 1455 nt
Filed under: uncultured organism
Description: SSU rRNA
Rfam family: Bacterial small subunit ribosomal RNA
Source: RNAcentral